UUACGGCCAUAUCACGCUGAAACACCGGUUACCAUACGGUCACCGAAGUUAAGAAACGUUGAAUAUGGUCAGUACCUAGAUGGGGGACUGCUUGGAAAUACCAGGUGUUGUAAG
This is a non-coding RNA of Acanthosepion pharaonis, 114 nucleotides long. The record is from the annotation of a GenBank genome assembly. NCBI's taxonomy places the organism in Eukaryota, Metazoa, Mollusca, Cephalopoda, Sepiida, Sepiidae.